RNAcentral lists this unclassified non-coding RNA (186 nucleotides) under uncultured fungus. RNAcentral's name for it is "sequence contains ITS1, 5.8S rRNA gene". The record is from RNAcentral. Lineage: Eukaryota; Fungi.
CCGUGCUCUGGGUCCCCUCGGGGGCCCGACACCCCACCCUUUGUAGUUACAUGACUAUCGUUGCUUCGGCGGGACGGCCCCCCAACCGGGUGGGCCGCCGGGCCCCAAACCGCCCGGAGAGCUCCCGCCGGAGGACCACAAACACCAGCCUUAACGAGUACGUCUGAGUGAGAAUUUAAUAAUUCA